AUCCUGGGGACCUGACGCAGCACGCCGCGUGAUUGAAGAAGGCCUUCGGGUUGUAAAGAUCUUUAAUUGGGGACGAAACAAAUGACGGUACCCAAAGAAUAAGCUCCGGCUAACUACGUGCCAGCAGCCGCGGUAAUACGUAGGGAGCGAGCGUUAUCCGGAUUUACUGGGUGUAAAGGGCGAGUAGGCGGGACGGCAAGUUGGGAGUGAAAUCUGGGGGCUUAACCCCCAAACUGCUUUCAAAACUGCUGUUCUUGAGUGAUGGAGAGGCAGGCGGAAUUCCCAGUGUAGCGGUGAAAUGCGUAGAUAUUGGGAGGAACACCAGUGGCGAAGGCGGCCUGCUGGACAUUAACUGACGCUGAGGAGCGAAAGCGUGGGGAGCAAACAGGAUUAGAUACCCUGGUAGUCCACGCCGUAAACGAUGGAUACUAGGUGUGGGAGGUAUUGACCCCUUCCGUGCCGGAGUUAACACAAUAAGUAUCCCACCUGGGGAGUACGGUCGCAAGGCUGAAACUCAAUGAAAAAUUGACGGA
This 533-nucleotide ribosomal RNA is filed under the name uncultured bacterium. Its description in RNAcentral is "bacterial SSU rRNA". It matches the Rfam family "Bacterial small subunit ribosomal RNA", at positions 369 to 917 of the family's 1533-position model. The record is from RNAcentral.